Molecule: ribosomal RNA, 477 nt
Filed under: uncultured bacterium
Lineage: Bacteria
Description: partial 16S ribosomal RNA
Rfam family: Bacterial small subunit ribosomal RNA
Source: RNAcentral
AUUGAACGCUGGCGGCAUGCCUUACACAUGCAAGUCGAACGGUAACAGGUUAAGCUGACGAGUGGCGAACGGGUGAGUAAUGUAUCGGAACGUGCCCAGUCGGGGGGGAUAACUGCUCGAAAGAGCAGCUAAUACCGCAUACGACCUGAGGGUGAAAGCGGGGGAUCGCAAGACCUCGCGCGAUUGGAGCGGCCGAUAUCAGAUUAGGUAGUUGGUGAGGUAAAGGCUCACCAAGCCGACGAUCUGUAGCUGGUCUGAGAGGACGACCAGCCACACUGGGACUGAGACACGGCCCAGACUCCUACGGGAGGCAGCAGUGGGGAAUUUUGGACAAUGGGCGCAAGCCUGAUCCAGCCAUGCCGCGUGCGGGAAGAAGGCCUUCGGGUUGUAAACCGCUUUUGUCAGGGAAGAAAAGGUUCUGGCUAAUACCUGGGACUCAUGACGGUACCUGAAGAAUAAGCACCGGCUAACUACGUG